Molecule: long non-coding RNA, 284 nt
Organism: Micropterus dolomieu (smallmouth bass)
Lineage: Eukaryota; Metazoa; Chordata; Actinopteri; Centrarchiformes; Centrarchidae
Exons: 3
Source: RefSeq, a predicted model, not a curated record
UGUAACAAUAGAUACCCAUUUGUCUGCUACAGCGUCCCUGUAAUGAAACGGGCAGUGAAGCUGAGGAUGAAGCUGGAGGACUCCUCUGUGGAUCUGAACGACCCUGCUGUGAAAGCAGACCUGCUGAAAAAGCUCCAGGACAAGCUGCAGCAGAAAGGAGAGGGUGGAGUCAUCCUGAAGUACCUGCUAAUUCACACUAAGAUCAGUGUCUGAAGAGCUAAACCAGAACCCUGAAUCCAUCCUGUAGACCUGUAGUCAUAGGAGGGUUUGUCCCUCAUCAGCAA